This 129-nucleotide small RNA is filed under the name Polaribacter cellanae. Its description in RNAcentral is "6S-Flavo RNA". It matches the Rfam family "6S-Flavo RNA". Lineage: Bacteria; Pseudomonadati; Bacteroidota; Flavobacteriia; Flavobacteriales; Flavobacteriaceae. The record is from Rfam by way of RNAcentral.
ACUCAACACGAUUCAAUUAUGAAGGAUGAGUCUUAACUGUAAAAGCACGCCACUAUUGCUGAACUUGUUUCAGUUCUCAGGUGGAUUCUUGAUCAGUUAGUUAGUCCUAUACAUACCAUAAUGGAGUUU